AUUUAAAUAGUUUAAUUUAAAAUAUUAAUUUGUGGAAUUAAAGAUUAUUUUUUAUAUUUAAAUA
Molecule: transfer RNA, 64 nt
Filed under: Hyalopterus pruni
Lineage: Eukaryota; Metazoa; Arthropoda; Insecta; Hemiptera; Aphididae
Also listed under: 1 other name
Description: tRNA-His
Source: RNAcentral